This 254-nucleotide ribosomal RNA is filed under the name uncultured bacterium. RNAcentral's name for it is "partial 16S ribosomal RNA". It matches the Rfam family "Bacterial small subunit ribosomal RNA", at positions 524 to 776 of the family's 1533-position model. The record is from RNAcentral.
UACGUAGGGGGCAAGCGUUGUCCGGAAUUAUUGGGCGUAAAGAGCGUGUAGGCGGCUGGUUAGGUGUGAUGUGAAAUCCUCGGGCUCAACCCGAGAACUGCAUUGCAAACCGGCCUGGCUAGAGUGCAGGAGAGGGAAGCGGAAUUCCAGGUGUAGCGGUGAAAUGCGUAGAUAUCAGGAAGAACACCCGUGGCGAAGGCGGCUUUCUGGGACGGUACUGACGCUGAGACGCGAAAGCGUGGGGAGCGAACAGG